Long non-coding RNA from Sinocyclocheilus grahami, 379 nucleotides. RefSeq lists it as uncharacterized. The transcript has 3 exons. The record is from RefSeq and is a predicted model, not a curated record. Lineage: Eukaryota; Metazoa; Chordata; Actinopteri; Cypriniformes; Cyprinidae.
CAGUAUGGCAGCUGACAAUAUUGCUGACAAGUUGCUGCAUCAGUUCUGCAUAGUGUUUAGCAUUUAAGCAGAAGUGAAAGACUGCAUGUUCCGCUUUUGUUCUGUAGCAGAACUCCUCAGGAUGGUGUGACGUCUUCUAUAAAGCUAUAAAAGAGGCAGCUUGCGACACUCAUCCUAAAGCGUCUUGCUCUGUGAUUGCUGCUGUGUUUCUCUGUGUGAUUACUGAAGGCUGUUGUGGACGUCUCGUACCUCAUGGAAAUUAAGAGUAAACGCAUGGAGAGAGAUGAAGAGACAACCCAGUGAAACAUGGAGCUCGUCAGAUGGAGCAGCUGCUAUGAUAUAAGGCCAAAUUUCCCAGUCUCUGCUGAUCCACACACAC